UUGUUUUUUUGGAUGAGUCGGGCGAUGGAAGUUGGUCAGCAUGCACCAGAGGUUGAGGCUGCUGAAGUAUCAGAUGAAGAUGUUGAGGCCUACAUCGGCAAAGCCACCGGCUUAGAUCUGAAUGCCGGAUUCUUCGUCUUACGGCUUGAAUCGAGCUGGGAGGCUGUGGAUCUGAGCACGGGAGGUUCUAGAGCUAGCGAAAUCGCAAGGCUAUUAGGAUCUAAGAGAUGCGCCGACUUGAAGAGGCGAGAUCUACAACAAAAACAAACAUGGAGCUACAACGAGAUUCUUAAGUGA
RNAcentral lists this unclassified non-coding RNA (297 nucleotides) under Zea mays. RNAcentral describes it as "misc RNA Zm00001eb332240". The record is from RNAcentral. Lineage: Eukaryota; Viridiplantae; Streptophyta; Magnoliopsida; Poales; Poaceae.